CAGCCGCCGCGGGAAUACGGAGGGGGCAAGCGUUAUCCGGAAUUACUGGGUGUAAAGGGAGCGUAGACGGUUAAACAAGUCUGAAGUGAAAUGCCGGGGCUCAACCCCGGAGCUGCUUUUGGAACUGUAGAACUGGAGUGUCGGAGGGGUAAGCGGAAUUCCCAGUGUAGCGGUGAAAUGCGUAGAUAUUGGGAGGAACACCGGCGGCGAAGGCGGCUUACUGGACGACAACUGAUGUUGAGGCUCGAAGGCGUGGGUAGCAAACAGGAUUAGAUACCCCGGUAGUCCCUGUCUCUUAUAC
Molecule: ribosomal RNA, 301 nt
Filed under: uncultured bacterium
Lineage: Bacteria
Description: partial 16S ribosomal RNA
Rfam family: Bacterial small subunit ribosomal RNA
Source: RNAcentral